This 588-nucleotide ribosomal RNA is filed under the name Pseudomonas putida. Its description in RNAcentral is "bacterial SSU rRNA". It matches the Rfam family "Bacterial small subunit ribosomal RNA", at positions 95 to 679 of the family's 1533-position model. The record is from RNAcentral. Lineage: Bacteria; Pseudomonadati; Pseudomonadota; Gammaproteobacteria; Pseudomonadales; Pseudomonadaceae.
GCGGCGGACGGGUGAGUAAUGCCUAGGAAUCUGCCUGGUAGUGGGGGAUAACGUUCGGAAACGGACGCUAAUACCGCAUACGUCCUACGGGAGAAAGCAGGGGACCUUCGGGCCUUGCGCUAUCAGAUGAGCCUAGGUCGGAUUAGCUAGUUGGUGAGGUAAUGGCUCACCAAGGCGACGAUCCGUAACUGGUCUGAGAGGAUGAUCAGUCACACUGGAACUGAGACACGGUCCAGACUCCUACGGGAGGCAGCAGUGGGGAAUAUUGGACAAUGGGCGAAAGCCUGAUCCAGCCAUGCCGCGUGUGUGAAGAAGGUCUUCGGAUUGUAAAGCACUUUAAGUUGGGAGGAAGGGUUGUAGAUUAAUACUCUGCAAUUUUGACGUUACCGACAGAAUAAGCACCGGCUAACUCUGUGCCAGCAGCCGCGGUAAUACAGAGGGUGCAAGCGUUAAUCGGAAUUACUGGGCGUAAAGCGCGCGUAGGUGGUUCGUUAAGUUGGAUGUGAAAGCCCCGGGCUCAACCUGGGAACUGCAUUCAAAACUGACGAGCUAGAGUAUGGUAGAGGGUGGUGGAAUUUCCUGUGUAGC